Drosophila kikkawai is the source of this 214-nucleotide non-coding RNA. The record is from RefSeq and is a predicted model, not a curated record. Lineage: Eukaryota; Metazoa; Arthropoda; Insecta; Diptera; Drosophilidae.
UAGGAACCGAUUAGAGGUGGAUACAUUAAAUGCCAUUUUGGCAAUCAGAUUCGGAUUGCGUCACCAUAAGUUAUGCUGUCAUAAUUAUAACUUGCCUGAGAAGUACCUCCAAUUAAUUGGCUCCAUGGCUACAUAUGAGGACAGCAAUGAUGAUGACGGGAAAAUAAUAGAAGAUGCCUUAAAACUAUUAUCUUAAUAAUAAAAAAUAAUAAUA